This 1319-nucleotide long non-coding RNA is filed under the name Equus asinus (donkey). Its description in RNAcentral is "lncRNA (ENSEASG00005027562.1)". Lineage: Eukaryota; Metazoa; Chordata; Mammalia; Perissodactyla; Equidae. The record is from RNAcentral.
GCGAACGCAGUCCCCCACUACCACAAAUUAUGCAGUCGAGUUUCCCACAUUUGGGGAAAUCGCAGGGGUCAGCACAUCCGGAGUGCAGUGGAUAAGCCUCGCCCUGGGAAAACCACCUUCGUGAUCAUGGUAUCUCCCCUGCCAGGUGUGCAAAAGCGUUUUGGAUGCUUUUUUCCCCAUCCCCUUUCUGGGACACGUGUUAUGGUGAACGAAUAAUCAGGACCCCUCUCCCCGGUCUAACAGGCAAAACUGGCAAGCAAGCCGCAUAGGCUUAGAGUCAGUGCAAAAUCUAGGCUGUACAGCGAGGCGGCCUUGGAGGUCAUCUUAAGCCUGUGUCAGAAUGACCUCGCAACCCUUCACCUCGUGACGGAAGACGCCAGCGAGAAAAGAUCUGCAACCAGAAGAGAGAAAGGGUACCCAGCUCUCAUACCCUCUCGCUACGUCUUUAGGUUCGGGGGGGUACCUCGCCACCCUGGGACUUGCCUCCCUCCCCACAUAGAUGACAUCAGCAUUCCAGGGUACUGUAACCAAGAAAUUCUUACUUUAUAAACGAGAGAAAAACCAGAUGUACCCUGCCACGGAGGGAGGGUUUCGCCGUUUGAUUGUUGGCGUAUAGGACUGUUCAUGAGUAAGCCCCUUUCUGCUCUUAUGGACGGCCUCGUAAGAAGGCACAUAAACUGUGCUCAGAUCUGUAGACCUCCGUCAGAGCAGUUCCUGCAGGACGCUCUGUUGAGCUGUUUCCCAGGCUCGAGUCCUCACCUUUGGUUAUUGAACGAACUCUUUCAAGUAACUUUUAUCACGAUUCUUUAUUUCAGUUGACAUUAUUCAUGUUUGCACCUCCUGGGCUCAUCCACUUUCCUGAACUUGAACCCGGGGACCCGAGGGUCACCGUCAAUAGUCAAUGUGACCUUUCGACCUUGUCCCCAACACAGACCUAGCUGAAAGGAAGUCGGUCUUGUCAAUUUGCCGUUUUCUUGUUUAACCAGAGGGGUGACUCAAGGCUCACAGGGAUUUAUGAGCUUGUUUCACAGAAGGAAGAGAAUGCCUUCAAGGAAGUUCCGAUCACCAAUCACCAGAGAUCACCACUCAGCAGAUAACCGGCCCUCAGCUGCUGUUGAUGCCCAGAAGUGAGACUGCCCAAGGGCUUAUCAGGAGUGAAAGAAACACGCGUGACCCCUUGGUUUCUCCUGAGAAACUGCUCCUGCCAAGCCCCUUAGCUCUGUAAAAACCCCUGCUUUCUUCUCUCGUUCAGGUGGAUUUGAGAGAACCUAUCCUCCCGCCUUCUCCGCCAAUUCGAAUAAACCUUUCUCCAUCUCCAA